UUGGUUUCAUUCCAUUCAGUGGUUCUCUAAAAGAUGUCAUUUGUAUGCAUUUCCCAUAGGGUCCUAUGUUAAACUAAGUCCCCCACUGGCGGCCAUCUUGGAUGAUGGAUCAGCUACAAAGUAACAACACUUGGUCAGCACCUCAUAAGGAACAUUUAAGCCAUGUUUGGUUUCAUUCCAUUCAGUGGUUCUCUAAAAGAUGUCAUUUGUAUGCAUUCCCCAUAGGGUCCUAUGUUAAACUAAUUCCCCCCACUGGCGGCCAUCUUGGAUGAUGGAUCAGCUACAAAGUAACAACACUUGGUCAGCACCUCAUAAGGAACAUUUAAGCCAUGUUUGGUUUCAUUCCAUUCAGUGGUUCUUUAAAAGAUGUCAUUUGUAUGCAUUCCCCAUAGGGUCCUAUGUUAAACUAAGUCCCCCCGCUGGCGGCCAUCUUGGAAGAUGGAUCAGCUACAAAGUAACAACACUUGGUCAGCACCUCAUAAGGAACAUUUCAGCCAUAUUUGGUUUCAUUCCAUUCAGUGGUUCUCUAAAAGAUGUCAUUUGUAUGCAUUUCCCAUAGGGUCCUAUGUUAAACUAAGUCCCCUCGCUGGCGGCCAUCUUGGAUGAUGGAUCAGCUACAAAGUAACAACACUUGGUCAGCACCUCAUAAGGAACAUUCAUGCCAUGUUUGGUUUCAUUCCAUUCAGUGGUUCUCUAAAAGAUGUCAUUUGUAUGCAUUUCCCUUAGGGU
This 729-nucleotide long non-coding RNA is filed under the name Mytilus galloprovincialis (Mediterranean mussel). Lineage: Eukaryota; Metazoa; Mollusca; Bivalvia; Mytilida; Mytilidae. The record is from RNAcentral.